GAAGUGGGCAGAUGUUUAUUUUAUAAAUUUCUAUACCGCUUUAUAUUUUUAAGAAAAAUCUCAAAGUGGUUUACAGAAUAUUAAAUCAAUAAAACAUAAAUAAGACAGUCUGAAGAAAGUCAAAUGUAGAGAAUAAAGUCAAAGCAACAUAACAGAAAACUUAAAUAUUAUCUUAAAGAUUUCAAAAUAGAACAUUACAAAGGAGGUCAACUACAGAAUACAUAUUUAACAUUGUAGGGCUGGUGAGUGUGGGCCCAGCCCCCUAGGCCAGGUGGAAAGGGCCUUGCAGGGAGCGGCCUCCAUGCCCCACAGCCGGGUGAUGUUCCUCCGGCCUCAUGAGGAGCCUCUUCAGUGGGGCUGGUGAGUGUGGGCCCAGCCCCCUAGGCCAGGUGGAAAGGGCCUUGCAGGGAGCGGCCUCCAUGCCCCACAGCCGGGCGAUGUUCCUCCGGCCUCAUGAGGAGCCUCUUCAGUGGGGCUGGUGAGUGUGGGCCCAGCCCCCUAGGCCACGUGGAAAGGGCCUUGCAGGGAGCGGCCUCCACACCUCACAGCCGGGUAAUGUUCCUCCGGCCUCAUGAGGAGCCUCUUCAGUGGGGCUGGUGAGUGUGGGCCCAGCCCCCUAGGCCAGGUGGAAAGGGCCUUGCAGGGAGCGGCCUCCAUGCCCCACAGCCGGGCGAUGUUCCUCCGGCCUCAUGAGGAGCCUCUUCAGUGGGGCUGGUGAGUGUGGGCCCAGCCCCCUAGGCCAAGUGGAAAGGGCCUUGCAGGGAGCGGCCUCCACACCUCACAGCCGGGUAAUGUUCCUCCGGCCUCAUGAGGAGCCUCUUCAGUGGGGCUGGUGAGUGUGGGCCCUGCCCCUAGGCCAGGUGGAGAGGACCUUGCAGGGAGUGGCCUUCACACACACAGCCAGGCGAUGUUCCUCCGGCCUCAUGAGGAGCCUCUUCAGUAGGGCUGGUGAGUUUGGGCCUCGCCCCCUAGGCCAAGUAGAAAGGGCCUUGCAGGGAGCGGCCUCCACACCUCACAGCCGGGUAAUGUUCCUCCGGCCUCAUGAGGAGCCUCUUCAGUGGGGCUGGUGAGUGUGGGCCCAGCCCCUAGGCCAGGUGGAAAGGGCCUUGCAGGGAGCGGCCUCCAUGCCCCACAGCCGGGCGAUGUUCCUCCGGCCUCAUGAGGAGCCUCUUCAGUGGGGCUGGUGAGUGUGGGCCCAGCCCCUAGGCCAAGUGGAAAGGGCCUUGCAGGGAGCGGCCUCCACACCUCACAGCCGGGUAAUGUUCCUCCGGCCUCAUGAGGAGCCUCUUCAGUGGGGCUGGUGAGUGUGGGCCCUGCCCCCUAGGCCAAGUGGAAAGGGCCUUGCAGGGAGCGGCCUCCAUGCCCCACAGCCGGGCGAUGUUCCUCCGGCCUCAUGAGGAGCCUCUUCAGUGGGGCUGGUGAGUGUGGGCCCUGCCCCUUAGGCUAGGUAGAAAGGGCCUUGUAGGGAGAGGCCUCCACACCUCGCAGCUGGGCGAUGUUCCUAUAGGUGGAGCGCUACAACUCAAACUUUUGACUAGGACUGCUGUGA
RNAcentral lists this long non-coding RNA (1549 nucleotides) under Podarcis lilfordi (Lilford's wall lizard). The record is from RNAcentral. Lineage: Eukaryota; Metazoa; Chordata; Lepidosauria; Squamata; Lacertidae.